GGCCCGCUAGCUCAAAUGGUAGAGCAGCUGACUCUUAAUCAGCGGGUUACAGGUUCGAGUCCUGUGCGGGUCA
RNAcentral lists this transfer RNA (73 nucleotides) under Dehalococcoidia bacterium. Its description in RNAcentral is "tRNA-Lys". It matches the Rfam family "tRNA". From Rfam's summary of the family: Transfer RNA (tRNA) molecules are approximately 80 nucleotides in length. Their secondary structure includes four short double-helical elements and three loops (D, anti-codon, and T loops). RNAcentral also lists the same sequence under 1 other name. Lineage: Bacteria; Bacillati; Chloroflexota; Dehalococcoidia. The record is from RNAcentral.